This 64-nucleotide non-coding RNA is filed under the name Kozakia baliensis. RNAcentral's name for it is "Fluoride sequence". It matches the Rfam family "Fluoride riboswitch aptamer (crcB RNA motif)". The record is from Rfam by way of RNAcentral. Lineage: Bacteria; Pseudomonadati; Pseudomonadota; Alphaproteobacteria; Acetobacterales; Acetobacteraceae.
CGAGACAAAGGAGAUGGGGUUCCUCCUUGUAACCGCCCGUAGGGCUGAUGACUCCUAUUCGAUU